UGGGGGAUUUUGCGCAAUGGGGGAAACCCUGACGCAGCGACGCCGUGUGAGUGAUGAAGGCUUUCGGGUCGUAAAGCUCUGUCAGGUGGGAAGAAAUAUCUCGAUAUGAAUAGUAUCGGGGUUUGACGGUACCACCAAAGGAAGCACCGGCUAACUCCGUGCCAGCAGCCGCGGUAAUACGGAGGGUGCAAGCGUUGUUCGGAAUUAUUGGGCGUAAAGAGCGUGUAGGCGGUCGAACAAGUCAGAUGUGAAAUCCCUCGGCUCAACCGAGGAAGUGCAUUUGAAACUGUUUGGCUUGAGUACGGGAGAGGAGAGCGGAAUUCCCGGUGUAGAGGUGAAAUUCGUAGAUAUCGGGAGGAACACCGGUGGCGAAGGCGGUUCUCUGGCCCGAUACUGACGCUGAGACGCGAAAGCGUGGGGAGCAAACA
Molecule: ribosomal RNA, 428 nt
Filed under: uncultured bacterium
Lineage: Bacteria
Description: bacterial SSU rRNA
Rfam family: Bacterial small subunit ribosomal RNA
Source: RNAcentral